AGUCCUCCAGUAGUUCUUUAUCUCGUUGUCGGUUCUUCCAGGCAGAUGCUUAGCGAUUUUCGACCACCUGUACGUAUGCACAGUUCAAGAUAAGGGAAGAGGAAUUGGAAGGGGCCGUUUUUAUCCAGAAAGAGCGAAAACAAUAUGGUAGGUGUCGAUUUCAUCAUAAGUAGGCAGCAAUUGAGGAUUGGGGUCUUUCAAGGUUAUAACAUGUGCCUUUAUUCAUAAAUGGAAAUUUGCUGCUCCUUCACAACA
Sesamum indicum (sesame) is the source of this 255-nucleotide non-coding RNA. The record is from RefSeq and is a predicted model, not a curated record. NCBI's taxonomy places the organism in Eukaryota, Viridiplantae, Streptophyta, Magnoliopsida, Lamiales, Pedaliaceae.